AGGACGAACGCUGGCGGCGUGCUUAACACAUGCAAGUCGAGCGGAAAGGCCCUUCGGGGUACUCGAGCGGCGAACGGGUGAGUAACACGUGAGCAAUCUGCCCCUAGCUUCGGGAUAGCUCCGGGAAACCGGAUUAAUACCGAAUACGACUACGGCCGACAUCGGCUGUGGUGGAAAGUUUUUCGGCUAGGGAUGAGCUCGCGGCCUAUCAGCUUGUUGGUGAGGUAACGGCUCACCAAGGCGACGAC
This 248-nucleotide ribosomal RNA is filed under the name uncultured bacterium. RNAcentral's name for it is "partial small subunit ribosomal RNA". It matches the Rfam family "Bacterial small subunit ribosomal RNA", at positions 26 to 280 of the family's 1533-position model. The record is from RNAcentral.